This 761-nucleotide unclassified non-coding RNA is filed under the name Daphnia magna. RNAcentral describes it as "uncharacterized LOC116930225, transcript variant X1". The record is from RNAcentral. Lineage: Eukaryota; Metazoa; Arthropoda; Branchiopoda; Diplostraca; Daphniidae.
CCACGCUGGAAAAGAGCAGACGAACUUGGAAAAAAGACAUAUCGCGUGGUGAUCGCAUUUAGUGGUGAAUAACGCCGAUGUUGGGAAUUCCUGUUGGCGAGUUUGUGUGAAUUUGUUGAAAAACAAACAAAAAAGGCAAAAUAUCAGUCAUGGAGCCAAUAACAGCUGAAGGCGACGAGGAAUCUUUAUCAAACAGCAAUGCGGGUAGUUCUGGUGCCUUCCAGGUUGAAAGAAUACACAUGCACUGGAAGGGCAUACACAAUUUGGAGAAGACGGGGGGAGAAAGUGUUAAUAAUGUUACAUCUAUCAAGUAUUACCUCGUAAAAACGGUUGAAAGAGAUGAAAACUUCAAAGACAUCACUUACUACACUUGUGUUCCAACAACCUGGGUUUCGGAAUGCAUGCAAUUCAUGGUAUACCCACCAGUUGGGACACAUUUUGCCAACGGUAAAAAUCAAGAACCAAAUCAGUGGAGAAGCAAUGUUUUUCAAAGGUUUCGUUACCCAAGGAAUUCUUGGUUUGAGUACGAUAUCGACACACGCCAGAGAAUUCCGCAACAAAUGCCGUGAUGAACAGACAGAUGACAGACCUGCCACAUCAGCAACAGCAACACCGAUGCAAUACAACGAUGGGAUCACAUUGAAACAGUAUAUAGAUAGACUUGAAGCAUUAGUUAACUGUUUUAGUCUUUAAUUUGUUUUGUCGUUGGUAUACUAAGAAGAUUCCAAUGUUAGGUUUUUACAUUGUGACAAUUUUUAUUU